Molecule: long non-coding RNA, 486 nt
Organism: Xiphias gladius (swordfish)
Lineage: Eukaryota; Metazoa; Chordata; Actinopteri; Istiophoriformes; Xiphiidae
Exons: 5
Source: RefSeq, a predicted model, not a curated record
GCUAGAAAGGAGCUGUCAUUAAUGUCUGUAGUAUUACCCGUGCUUUUCCUGCGAUGCCAAGUUAAAAUGUGCGUGACAGAAAAAGUUUGGGAACCACUGCUCUAAACUAAAGAUGGUUCACACUGCAACACUCUACUCCACCUUGGCCAGGUUCCAUUGUGUCUGCAAAGCUUUUCCCGGCUGUCCGUGUCCCUGCAUCAGGCUAAGCUACAGCUGUCGCCUGGAACAAAAUGUAUCUCAAGCUAAGAGAGGACUUUCAACCAGCCAGACGCGAGACACCCUGCAGUAAGCUGCUUUUCCACCGCACGGACUGCAGGAAGAGGUUUCAUAGCACUGAGAUUUGUAGCUUCUGAUGGGAUGGCAAUGUCUCUUGGUCAGCUGAUCCACCGAUCCAAACUGAACAGCUCUCAACAACUACUGGAUGGAUUGCCAUGAACUUUUGUACAGACAUGUGUGUUUCCCAGACAAUGAACACUAAUGAAUUAA